UACGUAGGUGGCGAGCGUUGUCCGGAUUUACUGGGCGUAAAGGGAGCGUAGGCGGACUUUUAAGUGAGAUGUGAAAUACCCGGGCUUAACUUGGUGCUGCAUUUCAAACUGGAAGUCUAGAGUGCAGGAGAGGAGAAUGGAAUUCCUAGUGUAGCGGUGAAAUGCGUAGAGAUUAGGAAGAACACCAGUGGCGAAGGCGAUUCUCUGGACUGUAACUGACGCUGAGGCUCGAAAGCGUGGGGAGCAAACAGGAUUAGAUACCCUGGUA
RNAcentral lists this ribosomal RNA (268 nucleotides) under uncultured prokaryote. RNAcentral describes it as "partial 16S ribosomal RNA". It matches the Rfam family "Bacterial small subunit ribosomal RNA", at positions 524 to 792 of the family's 1533-position model. The record is from RNAcentral.